Molecule: unclassified non-coding RNA, 147 nt
Filed under: soil metagenome
Description: partial internal transcribed spacer 1
Source: RNAcentral
CCGAGUUUACAACUCCCAAACCCCUGUGAACAUACCACUUGUUGCCUCGGCGGAUCAGCCCGCUCCCGGUAAAACGGGACGGCCCGCCAGAGGACCCCCUAAACUCUGUUUCUAUAUGUAACUUCUGAGUAAACCAUAAAUAAAUCA